This 1891-nucleotide long non-coding RNA is filed under the name Sus scrofa (pig). RNAcentral's name for it is "lncRNA (ENSSSCG00055021728.1)". The record is from RNAcentral. Lineage: Eukaryota; Metazoa; Chordata; Mammalia; Artiodactyla; Suidae.
AGAUACUCUUGUGAAGGGACCUUGAAAGCGCGUGCCUGGGUCUGGCCGGUGACGAUUCUCCCAUUUUUCCCGCAGCUUCCUUGCAUCAUCGGUCCUGAAGGAACGGACGACCUCCCUGUGUGCUGGGCAGGGCGUCGUGGUUCGGCAGAGCAGGCCACGGAUGGAUGGAUAGAUGGAUGGAUGGAUGGAUGGAUGGGUGGGUGGCAGCACUCCAUCCUCUCCUGCAGGUCAGAGCACCUGCUCACCCCUCUCCUUUCUGCCUUGUGAGGUGGGGUGCUGAGCUCUGGCCCAAGGUCCAACUGCCCGGCUGGCGUGUGGAUCUCACAGGCGUCCCCUCCAGCUCCUUCUGCCUCUGGCUGGGGGUCUGGGCUCUUGACUUCUCAGGCGCUUGAGGGUUGCAGCCAAAGGGGAGUACCAGCUGCAGCCUCUUGCCCUCUGCAUCCCCCCCGGAGAGAAACACCCGCUCCAGUGGCGAGCCAGACGUCAAGAUUCUUGCUUCAAGAACCUUCCCCACAAGUGCGCCUCGCUUGGGAUUUCAAAACAUUUACCUUCUAUCCCGCGUCUCUGUCAAGAGCUUGGACUCUGUGGCCCCAUGGCCUGGGGCAGUUACCUAACCUCCCAAGGCCUCAGUUUCCUCAUCUGCAAAACAGCGAUGGCGGUGGAGGUAGGCGUGAGAAGUAUCUUCCUCAUCCAGGAGUUUUCGAGAGAGCGCAGAUUUGGCUGCUUCACCUGGCUUGAAUCCAUCUUCUAAUUUGGGGCCGGCCGUUCAUCGGUAGCCGAGAACAAGUGACUCUGAAGGCCACUGGGAGGGACCGUGUGUCGAAUGAUGGACUCAUCAUCCGGCGUUUAUGGAGCCGACACCUGGGUUUGGCACAUGGCCGCAGGGGAGUGUCCGACAGGCGUCCAGCCUCGGGGGCAGACCAGCGCAGACACCUGUAAAACCCCGUGGUUUCACUGGCAGACGGAUGGAUGCACGAAGUGUGGUCUAUCCACACAGAGAACUAGGAUUCGGGUUAAAAAGGAAGGAAGCGCCAAGCCAGGCUACACGGUGGGUGACGCUUAAGGACUUUAUGCUCGUUGAAAUAAGCCGGUCACAGAACAGACACUGCAGGUGCCACUUAACCAAGGAAAGCAGCCGAAUUCACAGAGACACAAAAGAAUGGGGGUCGCUGGGAGGAGGGGGGUGGGCAGUUCCUGCUCCUUGGUGUCCUGGACUGAUGAGUUGUGUCCCCUCCAGAUUCUUAUGCAGAAGCCCAACCCCCAGUGGGACUGUAAUUGGAGAUGGGCCUCAGGGAGGGGACCCAGUGAACCCAGACGGUGAGGGUGGGGCCCUCAGAGGACCCUCCCCCUCCCUUUCUCUCUCUCUCCCCCUCCCCCUUCCCUCCCUCUCUCUCUCCCCCCCUUCUUCCUCCCUCCCCCCUUCUCCCUCCCUCUCUUCUCUCCCCCCUCUCCCUCUCUCCUCCCUCCCUCUCUUUCUCCCUCUCUCUCUCCCUCCCCUCUUCUCCCUCCCCCUCCCCACGCAGGAGCAGAGAAAAGCCCACUCCAGGACUGGGGCGGGAAGGGAGCCACGUCUUCUACAAGCCAGAAAAGAGUCCCCAGCAGACACCUUCCCGACAGCACUUUGAUCUUGGCCUUCCAGCCCUGGAACUGUGAGAAGGUCACUGCCUUGGUUUAAGCCUCCCUGUCUGUGCCAUUUGUCACAGCGGCCAGAAGACCAAGGCAGCGGGGUGGAAUUUCCAUCCAAGAUGGUGGGAAGGUGAGAACGUUCUGGAGAGGAAGGCGGUGCUGGCUGCACAGCAGUGGGAACUACUUACCGCCACCUCGCUGUGCCCCAGAGUGUUCAGAUGGCACGUUUUGUGUGGGUGUAUUUUGCCACAAUAAAGAAGCCACA